RNAcentral lists this long non-coding RNA (337 nucleotides) under Oryctolagus cuniculus (rabbit). RNAcentral's name for it is "lncRNA (ENSOCUG00000034382.1)". The record is from RNAcentral. Lineage: Eukaryota; Metazoa; Chordata; Mammalia; Lagomorpha; Leporidae.
GGAAACGGGGUGGGGGUGGGUUGCCGCGUCCGGCGGGGCCCGAUUCGGACGCAUCACCCCCUGGCGGCCGCGCGGGGAAGCGCAGGGCCGCGCGCCCCCUUGUGCGACAUGUGCUGCCGGCCCGGGCUCCAUGAGCGUGGCGGGCACUUUGCAGUCUCGGGGCUGGCUUCCCCGUUUUCUGUUCCCGACCCAGGGCAGUAGGGAGAGGAACCAGAGAAGGCAGUUAUCCACGUGGACCUAACACUGCAUCCGAAGCUUUCUAAGGAUACUUGCUGAGAAGUUUUCCUGAGUGGCCAGAAGAAAAGGAAAAUGUUUUGCCACGUGGAUGUGAAGAUUG